UGCUAUAAAAGUAGCUGAACUUUUUCUGAACACUAAUCACACGUCCUGCAUCUACAGCUUUAUUUUACAGGUGCUCCACCAUGUAUCCCUACGGACCAUAUAAUAACAAUCCGUCAGUAUGGUACAACCCCCCAUCUCCUUGGGUAGGAUAUUCCAGACCACUUUAUCCUCCAUAUAAUCCAGGCUACUGGAACUCUUGGUGGAGCAACAAUAGAUCCUGGAAUAAUAGACCCCAUCGACACCAUGGACACCAUGGACACCACUAGUGUGCACAGCUUAGCCACAGCAAAGACUGAACCUACUCAAUGAAUUUUCAUGGC
Long non-coding RNA from Bufo bufo (common toad), 320 nucleotides. RefSeq lists it as uncharacterized. Lineage: Eukaryota; Metazoa; Chordata; Amphibia; Anura; Bufonidae. The record is from RefSeq and is a predicted model, not a curated record. The transcript has 4 exons.